ACAAGGGUAGAGGUGGGUUUUUUUUUUUUUUUCUGGUUUUGGUUUUGGUUUUCACUGAGCAUUUGUGAAGAAACACUGAAGAGACUUUCAAGUCCCGGGGAGCUUUCGUCCUUUUCAAAUCUGGUUUCCUGAUUAAUCACUGAGAUGCUAGGCCCUCGGUCUUCUCUAAACGCGUUCUUUCUCAAAAAACCAGGCAGGUUUCAAGGGCAAGCAAAGCCUCCUUCUCACGACCUGGAGAAACACUGACUUUAACUAAAAGCAGGAUACUGGAGCUUCCGAAGGGCUUGGGGGCCCCAAAGUUCACCCAAAUAAACAGAACGAGGAAGCCAUACACAUGCAUAACCCGGGUUUAUUUGUACCUGUCUUUGUUACACAGCUGUAGGGCAUAUGAGAGUCACGAUCAGAGAAACCUAUCUACGGUAACCUACUGUAGUAUAAACUAUCCAUAUUUCAUUCUCCAUGAGCACCACAGGCAAAUUCCUGUUGUAUUUGACCAGCUGGGGUCAAAAACGCUACCCAGGGCUCAGAGCUUUCCACCCCCGCUCCAGCGUCCGUUUCACCGCCAGCGUUCUGGUUUGUGCAUUUCAAAGAUGCUUUUACAGCAUUUAUGAACCCUCAACUUAUUUAUGACUAUCAGCUCAGGCUAUACAAUCCACUUUGGGGCAGAUUUGCAAGAGAAACAAAAUAGCCAUUUGAAACCAUGAUGUUUGGGUGUUAUGUCUGACUGGAGGAAGCAGGUGGGGUAUAGAACUCCUGGAAAAAAAAAUCUCCUGGAGGGGCAGUCAUAGGGGUCCGUUUCUGUGCUGUGGGGGAAAAAAGUCAUAUUUUCACGCCUGCUUUUCUCCAGUUAUUCCUCACAACAAAACUCACCUGAAACACAGGAACAAAACCAAUCCCAGUGAAAAGAAAGUUAUACCUCUACAUCACACACAAAGCAGGACUGCUUUUCACUAAGUAUUGCGUUGCACUGUUUGGCGGAGACGAUGCAGUUGAGCAGUAUGAAGAGAGACCAAACGCAUUUCAAGUGUUGCAUUUGAGACAACACGUGCUCUGUUAGGCAAAACUUUUCUGGUUUUGAUUAUUAAUUCUUUUUUAUUUUUGAUAUUUCAUUUUUUUUCUGGAAAAUUUGAAGUUCAAGGAUGAACAGUCAGUUUUACCCGACUGAAUGCACACACAACGAUAAAAGGCUGGGUUUCUUGGAAAUCUUUUUAUCCUGUUUUUAUAAGUAAGUUCGUUGCAGCAUUAUUUAUAAUGGUGAAAAAAUGGAAACAAUAUCCAUGAUUAUUAACAGAGGACUGAUUAAGUAAGCAUUGACAGGGUAAAAUUAUGUCAUUAUGCUAAGUGGAAAAAAAUCAAAAUUUCGUAUAUACUAUGCAGUCUCAACUAGGAAUAGGACAUAGACAGAGGGGGAAAAACCUGAAAAAAGAAAAAUACCAACAUUCAGAAUAACUCUUCCUGGGUAGUAGGAUUAUGACCUAUUUUAAUUUUCAUCUUCUUGUUUUUAUGUAUUUUCCAAAUGUUUGACAUUGAACAUAGACUUCUUGAACAAUCACAAAAAUGUGAGGAAAAGCAUCAUCAAAGCAUUUUCUCCUGAGAAAGGCAUUUGUUAUCUUAAUGACAAGAGUUCCUGCAUGUUUGGGCAUGAAACAAUUACUUCCCACAAAGAGGAUGCCCACCCAGCUGGAAGGAAGCUGAAAGAGCAGAAGAAUUUUUGCCUUGAGGGGCGCCAAGAGAGGCUUCGAGUUCUUCUUCCCCAGUGGUUUGAUGAAAUCAAGCAUUUGCACCUUUGAAAAUUGGUUUAACCAACGUGGCCUGAAUAAAUGUCAUCCCCUUUCCUCCUGGCCGGAAGUCAACUUCAUCUCACUCCUCUUCAACUCCUUCAGAUGUUAAGUGGCACAGUCCUGCUUUAAGAACAAGGGCUCCAAAAAACUGGCAUGCAGAGUUUAUGAGCUUCUUUCCUGUGUUGCGAAAUUGGACAAUAAACGAACCUUGUUCUGAGCCUAGUUAACCUCAACUUUAAGACUACGACCAUCUAUAUGCAGGACGGUAGAAAGCCUAGCCAAGUGCUUUGGAACUUACGUUGACCGUAUGGAAUCAUGCUAUCUGUCCUUCUCAGGCUCUCUUUUGAAAGGAAAAACUGCCAGUAGGUGGACUGGUCAGUGACAGAGCAGACGCCGUCCGAGUUCAGGCUGUGCCAGUCAGAUAGGUCAUGGUCUCGGGGUGGAAGAUAAAUUGAGACAUUCUGUUCUCAGGAACCCGAACUCAAAGACUUGCAACGAAAUCCCCAAGGGAGAGUAGGAAGAGUACAAGGAGAGCAGAAUGGGGAGACAGUCAAAAUGUAUUAAGAGAGGUUUGCCAGAACAAGGCUUUUGUACAUCGUGACAUCCCAUCGUAUGGAUGGGUAAGAUCAUUCUGCCGCAUCCCCCCACAGAAAGUAACGGAAA
This is a long non-coding RNA of Felis catus (domestic cat), 2444 nucleotides long. RefSeq lists it as uncharacterized. NCBI's taxonomy places the organism in Eukaryota, Metazoa, Chordata, Mammalia, Carnivora, Felidae. The record is from RefSeq and is a predicted model, not a curated record. The transcript is spliced from 3 exons.